UGGGGAAUAUUGGACAAUGGGGGGAACCCUGAUCCAGCAAUGCCGCGUGUGCGAAGAAGGCCUGAGGGUUGUAAAGCACUUUCAGAGGGGAGGAGGACUAUUAGGUUAAGAGCUAGAUAGUUGGACGUUACCCUCAGAAGCAGCACCGGCUAACUCUGUGCCAGCAGCCGCGGUAAUACAGAGGGUGCGAACGUUGCUCGGAAUUACUGGGCGUAAAGCGCGUGUAGGCGGAGCGCUAAGUCGGGCGUGAAAUCCCCAGGCUCAACCUGGGAACUGCGUUCGAAACUGACGUUCUCGAGUAUCGGAGAGGGUGGCGGAAUUCUUGGUGUAGAGGUGAAAUUCGUAGAUAUCAAGAGGAACACCGGUGGCGAAGGCGGCCACCUGGACGAUUACUGACGCUGAGACGCGAAAGCGUGGGGAGCAAACAGGAUUAGAUACCCCGGUAGUCCCUGAGCGGGCUGGCAAGGCGCAU
Molecule: ribosomal RNA, 472 nt
Filed under: uncultured bacterium
Lineage: Bacteria
Description: bacterial SSU rRNA
Rfam family: Bacterial small subunit ribosomal RNA
Source: RNAcentral